Molecule: ribosomal RNA, 1006 nt
Filed under: Sarea resinae
Lineage: Eukaryota; Fungi; Ascomycota; Sareomycetes; Sareales; Zythiaceae
Description: partial large subunit ribosomal RNA
Rfam family: Eukaryotic large subunit ribosomal RNA
Source: RNAcentral
CUGGCCAGAGACCGAUAGCGCACAAGUAGAGUGAUCGAAAGAUGAAAAGCACUUUGGAAAGAGAGUUAAAAAGUACGUGAAAUUGUUGAAAGGGAAGCGCUUGCAACCAGACUUGCUCGCGGUUGCUCAGCCGGUGUUCUCACCGGUGCACUCUUCCGCGAUCAGGCCAGCAUCGGUUUGGGCGGCUGGAUAAAGGCUUCGGGAAUGUGGCUCCUCUCGGGGAGUGUUAUAGCCCGGGGUGCAAUGCAGCCCGCCCGGAUCGAGGACCGCGCUUCGGCUAGGAUGCUGGCGUAAUGGUUGUAAGCGACCCGUCUUGAAACACGGACCAAGGAGUCUAACAUCUAUGCGAGUGUUUGGGUGUCAAACCCAUGCGCGUAAUGAAAGUGAACGGAGGUGGGAACCCUUAAGGGUGCACCAUCGACCGAUCCUGAUGUCUUCGGAUGGAUUUGAGUAAGAGCAUAGCUGUUGGGACCCGAAAGAUGGUGAACUAUGCCUGAAUAGGGUGAAGCCAGAGGAAACUCUGGUGGAGGCUCGCAGCGGUUCUGACGUGCAAAUCGAUCGUCAAAUUUGGGUAUAGGGGCGAAAGACUAAUCGAACCAUUAACUACUAGGUGGUUAAGAGGCCGCUGAGAGGGCGCGCCUAGUCCCGCUCUCCGGGGCGACAUUGUCAAAUUGCGGGGACGUCCUAAAGGCGCUGCUACCAAACAGGCGUGGAAACACGGUCUGUGGCCGGGGUAAUGACCUAGGGUAUGGUAAAAACGCAGCGCAUGAUCCCGCUCGUGGGUGAAAUGGAUAAUCCGCAGCCAAGUCCUACGUCUCGCGAGAGAUACGGAUGCAGUUCACAGACUACAUGGCAAUGGGUUCACCUCGUCGAGGUGGGCUUAAGAUAUAGUCGGGCCGCCCAGAGAUGGGUCUGGCGGGAUGAAGUCUCGAGGAUGUGAGAGGCAUCGGUCGACGAUGCGUCCGAGAGACUGGAGCCCGCCGGGAGCCGAUCGUCGUCGGUCGGA